Lepus europaeus (European hare) is the source of this 1491-nucleotide long non-coding RNA. RefSeq lists it as uncharacterized. The transcript has 4 exons. The record is from RefSeq and is a predicted model, not a curated record. Lineage: Eukaryota; Metazoa; Chordata; Mammalia; Lagomorpha; Leporidae.
GCAGCCCCGCCCUACCCCUGCUCAUCUGGCACUGCAGCGGGGACAAUGACCCUGGCUCAAGAACUGUGUUGCUAGGCCUUGCAUGGAACCUUCAGCAUCACCGCUACCCCCUCCCUGGUCCUCUUCUCCCCUGACCUCCUUUCCAGCUUCAUCCUAACUCCAGGAUGAUCUCGAAAUACACCUGGAAGUCCUGGAAAUCCCUCCGUGCCUCCAAACUGUCCCGAAAGACCGGGCCUCCCCCUAACCGCAGUGGGACAGGCACUGCCCCCCCACCCUCUGACCACAGCCCCUCUCCCAAACCCUGGCGCCUCAGUGCCUUGUUCUACGAAGGCCAGGCAAGUACCAAGUCCACACCGCUCACGCUGUUGGGAACCGAUGGCUCCUGCUCGUCCCCCCCCCCCCCAGCCCCACAGAGCCACUGCACCACCUGCUGAGGAGCCAGGGUGACAGGGACGAUGCUGAAUGGGGACGUCUCCGGUCCUGGCUCCUGGAGACCCAGCAACGCCCUCUGCGUGGGAUUCUCGAACCAGAGACCCCCCUCGGCCCACCAGCAGCCUUGGUGACACAGGGGACUCGCACCUGCCACCUUGUCCUUUCCAACUGCUGAGGACUUCUGGCAACAGCCGGAUUUGGAGAGGGCCAAGAAUAAAUGCAAAACCUACCUUCUGUGGCCUCUGGCUGCCUGGCACACUGGUUCCCUUCUGAGACUUGAACCAUCGCCCCCCAGUUUCCAGGACUUGGCCCAGGGACCAGAAGCAAGGAGACCUAUGACAGAGGCACAGUAAAAGAUGAGCCAGGGGUCCCUCAGUCUGAGAAGCCCUGCCUUCCUGGUGGGACAGGUGCAGGGGCCGGGGCCAGGCACCUGCUGCCAGUCCAUCAGCGCUGAGCUCUCAGGUACAACAUUUUGGAGGCCCCAGCGAGAUAUGGAGACCACUUCCCGGAAGACCUCGCUGCGAUCCUUCCAGGUUGGUGCUCUGGCCAUAGGGGAGGCGCCCCCUGAUGAUGUUCCAGGGCCCCGUGUCCCGAUCAUCGACCUGGGAGGCUCGGCUCGACCUUUUCACCGACCUAUUGGCCUUAGGUCCUCUGGUAAGUCGACUCCUGUUUUCUGGUGGCGCCUUCUGGGUAUUGGAGGUCUGACAAGACACCAAUACAGUCUCCGUUCCGUUUGAGCGCGACGGCGUUAGGACGGGAGACUCUGGUCUGGUUAAAGAAAGGCCUGUCCUGGAUGUACUGGUUUCUGUUCCUGUCUCGUGGCCACUUUCUGAUGCACCGUCUGGGAGGUAAACUCUUCUCCCUGUGCUGCCUGUUUGUCUCCUUUAUUCCCUUGUCUCUGGAGUCUCUGUUCCUUCCCUGAGCAUGGGCUCUGCUCAGUCUAAGGGACACCUUUUCAAUGUAAAUUUUCUCUCUUUUAAAUCUAACAAGAUUGCUGCCUUAAAAAUUGCCUGUAACUUGCCAACGUUUUGUGGCUUGGUUUUUAUAGAUCUGGUUAAA